Molecule: ribosomal RNA, 731 nt
Filed under: Bacillus sp. enrichment culture clone CB1-7 3.2
Lineage: Bacteria; Bacillati; Bacillota; Bacilli; Caryophanales; Bacillaceae
Description: bacterial SSU rRNA
Rfam family: Bacterial small subunit ribosomal RNA
Source: RNAcentral
AGAGUUUGAUCCUGGCUCAGGAUGAACGCUGGCGGCGUGCCUAAUACAUGCAAGUCGAGCGAAUGGAUUAAGAGCUUGCUCUUAUGAAGUUAGCGGCGGACGGGUGAGUAACACGUGGGUAACCUACCCAUAAGACUGGGAUAACUCCGGGAAACCGGGGCUAAUACCGGAUAAUAUUUUGAACUGCAUAGUUCGAAAUUGAAAGGCGGCUUCGGCUGUUACUUAUGGAUGGACCCGCGUCGCAUUAGCUAGUUGGUGAGGUAACGGCUCACCAAGGCGACGAUGCGUAGCCGACCUGAGAGGGUGAUCGGCCACACUGGGACUGAGACACGGCCCAGACUCCUACGGGAGGCAGCAGUAGGGAAUCUUCCGCAAUGGACGAAAGUCUGACGGAGCAACGCCGCGUGAGUGAUGAAGGCUUUCGGGUCGUAAAACUCUGUUGUUAGGGAAGAACAAGUGCUAGUUGAAUAAGCUGGCACCUUGACGGUACCUAACCAGAAAGCCACGGCUAACUACGUGCCAGCAGCCGCGGUAAUACGUAGGUGGCAAGCGUUGUCCGGAAUUAUUGGGCGUAAAGCGCGCGCAGGCGGUCCUUUAAGUCUGAUGUGAAAUCCCACGGCUCAACCGUGGAAGGUCAUUGGAAACUGGGGGACUUGAGUACAGAAGAGGAAAGCGGAAUUCCAAGUGUAGCGGUGAAAUGCGUAGAGAUUUGGAGGAACACCAGUGGCGAA